CGGACGCGGCACCAUCGAGUCGCGGAGCCCAGCGGCGCAGAGCGGUCGCGCGCCCCGAUUGGCGCUCGGAGGGAAGUGACGUCACGACCGGCGCGGCGGGGGAUUUGAACGACGCGGCGCGGUGGAUCCCGGGAGUGGCGAGGGGGCCCCGGACACCUGAGUUCGCCCUGACUCUCCCUUCCCCAGCCACCGGCUUCCCUUCUGAACUCGCCCUGACCCUGCGGUGGACUCGGCCCCAAAAUGCCCCGCCCCAAACCCACUCCCCGGCGGCUCCGGGGUUCCCCAGCCCGCCCAUCGCCCCGGCCGCGGGCACGCAGGCGCCGCCCAGGUCAGCGGGCAUUGCAGGAAAUCCGCAAGUACCAGAACAGCACCCGCCUGCUGCUGCGCCGCGGCCCCUUUGCUCGCCUGGUGAGAAUCCCCCACAUCCCUAAAAUCCCCAGACACUCCGAUUUCCCUCACAGAAUCUUCCCAGCACCCCCCAUGGACUCACAAACUCCCCUGAGACCACACAGAUCCUCUCAGAUACCCAUAAAAUCUACUUUGGGACCCCCAAACCCCUCCAGGACCCCCCCAAUUUCACCCCAGAACCUCCAACAUUGGGAUCUUCCAAACCACUCUGGAUCCCCUCUCCUGGGAUCUCCAAAUCUAGAACACCCCAGAUCAACCCUCUCAGACCCUGCAACUUCCCCCAGAGCCUUCAAAUCCACUCUGGGACCCUUCAGCUCCCCAUAGAACUCUCCCAAAUACCCACUGGAACCCUUCAAACAAUCCCUAGGACCCCUUCAAAUCCAACCCCAAAUCCAACCUGGCACCCUCCAGUCUCCCCUUGGACCGCAUCCCAAAAACCCACCGGGAUUUUCCAACCCUCUACAGACCCACCAAGUUACCCUCUAGAACCCCAGAGCACCCCUUGGGACUCCUCAAGACUAUCCCUUUUCCCCCCAGGGCCCCCCUCAACCCUGUUUCAGCCCUCCCCAUAUCCUUGUCCUCCCCAUCCUCAUGACAUGGUGGGCCUGUCCUCCCCCACCAUCCUUGCAUUUCCCCCAAUGUCAUUCUGUGGUUCCAGACAUCCUUGUGUCCUGCUGCCUUCAGAGGCUGCAUGGAUUGAGUGUUCCCUGUGCCCCUCCUGCCAUACUGGCACUGUCCCCCCCCCGUUCCAUCGGGGUGUCCCCGUGUUCCCAUGGCUGAGGGUGUUCCCAAGAUGUUCCCGGAGUGGUGCUUCUCCCCUGCCUCCCACCUGGGAGAUCCCAGG
This 1252-nucleotide long non-coding RNA is filed under the name Serinus canaria (Common canary). RNAcentral describes it as "lncRNA (ENSSCAG00000009061.1)". Lineage: Eukaryota; Metazoa; Chordata; Aves; Passeriformes; Fringillidae. The record is from RNAcentral.